AUGGCGGCGCUGCAGGGAGGAGGGGAAGGAAACAGGAGCAGCGCUAGGCGCGAUGGGAGUUGUAGUCCUGGCGGUGAUCACGUGGUCAGAACGACGGUGUGUGAUUGGUCGCGAGGGGUCACCGGGCGGUUCGCCGGUGAUGGAGGCCGGCCGCCAUUUUGUGGCUGCUGUGCCGCGCCCCGUGCGGGAAGGGGAGUGGCGGCGGCAGCGGCCCCAGUCUGGAAGCCAGUGGGUUCUCCCAGUCAAGCUUGUGAACCAGCACGCAGACGAAGGAUGUUUGGAUGGAAGUGGAUCCACCUCGUCCAGAACAGACCUGGGACUCCCGUGGCAUGUCUUUGCUCUCUGCUCUCCAAGCGCACAAAGAGCGUCGCAGGAGUGUCCGGCCAGCCCCUUACUCGUCAUCGCGCAGGCUCCAUCCCAAGCAUUAGCUUGGAGCCCCCAAACACCAUGGACGUGCCGCAGGCUUACCUGCAAGACGUCCUGGCAAUAAACCACUCUGUUGCCGACUCUCAGGGGUUGUGUGAGUGCUUCUUUCCCAUCCCCCAGCCCUUGUGCCAGAGAUGGCAUCCCUUCUGUACAGGGCCUCGAGGAACAGCACAAGAGAGGACCCAGCUUCCUUCGGGCUGCUACACUGGGGUGACAGGAGGAGUCCCCGAGGGCCACCAUGCACCUCUAACAUUUGUGAAAAUAGACUGAGGGGUGAAAAUAAGAGUGUGUAAGCAAUUAGAGGUGGCUAAUUUCUUAUCCUAGGAGUGAGCUUCUCUAGCUGAGUACUUGGUGAAGACAGACGUGGAGACGGCUCAGGUACUCAACAACUUCUUUGCCUCCGUCUGCACUGGUAGGCAGGCUUCCCAAGUCUUUCAUUUCCCUGAACCCGUAGAUGGAGGCUGGGGGAGCAAAGUCCCACCCACUGUAAGUGAAGAGCAGGUUCGAGACCACCUGAUGAAUCUAAACAACAGGUACAGGUCUGUGGGACCUGAUGACACGAAUCCCAGGGUGCGGAGGGAACUGGCUGAUGUAGUGGCCAAGCCUCUCUCCAUCGUAGUUGAAAAGUCCUGGCAGUCGGGCGAUGUCCCUGGUGAGUGGAGAAAGGGAAACAUCACGCUGCUUUUUAAAAAGGGAUGAGAAAGUCAGGUCGUUUAGAAAGCAGAGGAACUCCUACUUGGUGUGGGGAGGGAGAAGAAGACGAGAUAGGCUACUCCAAAGUGGCUGGGCCAUCAGAGGAACAGGAAGAUGAAGAGAAAAAUAUCAUAAGGGCAUCAGGAAAUUCCUGAGGCCUAUACCAGCCUGAGCCUAACUGGGAAUGAGUGGCAAAAGCACCCUAUUGGGACUGGCCCGGAUGGUCCAUGUAUCCUUGGCAUAGGCUACCUCAGGAGAGGAUAUUUUGAGGACCCUUUUUCUUCAGGGAGCCAAUCUGUGAAGGGGACAGGCAGAGAUGGUCUUUCCCCCUUGUUCACUUCCCCCUUCUCCUUCACUCGCCUCUUCUCCUCCAGGCUAGUUACGACAGCUAAUGUUUCUAUGAUUCUAUGAUACGUAGACAGUGGUUUCAGGGAAGUAGAAGUAGUGAAGCAGAGGACUGUGGCUGCAGGUAAAUACAUCAUGGAAGUCUGUUUGGGAAAAAAUAGAUGAGAAAGAGACUAAGGACAUAAAUUAUAUAGUUAGUGGAGUGGUUAUUGAAUAUCCAUGGGAUCAACAGCUUCAGAUUGAGUUUUGUGUUACUAUUCAAGCCUGGAUUCAGGAAGGCUUUUUGCUGUACGAAUGUGUGGUAUUCAAGUAUUUGCUGAAGUGCUUUUCAAACUGAGAAUGGCCUUAUAGGUGAACCCAUGUUUAUGGGUGUAUCUGAACUGGUGUCUUGAUAAAAGUAAAAUAGCAAUACAUCUGUCAAUUAAUCUCCAAAGUGCACACAAAUAUUUUAUCUGUUAAAACGCUUGGAAUGGGAAGUGACAAUAUAAUGAACGCUUUCAGGUUUUAUUUAUUGUGCUUUGUGUGGUGUUUAUUCUUUUGCCUCCCACUAAGGAAAAUAUAUUCGUUGAGAGUAUAAAUAUUUUUUCACCUCUCUUGCUCUUUUGGUUAAACAUUUCAUUAGUAAGACAAUGUCUGGGUGUUGUAUGGAGGCAAACCUUGGUUGGUGCUACAUGAGAUUAUGAUAAAAUUUAUUUAUGUUAGUUUGUAGUUUUUAAUUUCUUUGACACUGUUGAAAGAUUCAUCCAGCAAUUCACUUUUGCGCUGUGAAUAUAAAAAACAUAUUUUACAGUUAGAUACCAACUGCCUCUGGUUGUUUAUAUUUUUAUAUUCCCAUUACAUGAAAAAAAUAGUUUUAUCGUAUGGUAAGCUUAUAGAUAUGCACAUAUAUUCUACUUAAAGUUUUCUCUUUCUCAUCUAGUUAUAGAUAUGUAUUGAUAUGAAAUAAAUUUAAAAAUCCAUAGCCA
Molecule: long non-coding RNA, 2429 nt
Organism: Anser cygnoides (Swan goose)
Lineage: Eukaryota; Metazoa; Chordata; Aves; Anseriformes; Anatidae
Source: Ensembl